UACAGAGGUCUCAAGCGUUGUUCGGAAUCACUGGGCGUAAAGGGUGCGUAGGUGGCGUGGUAAGUCAGAUGUGAAAGCCCGGGGCUCAACCUCGGAAUUGCAUCCGAUACUACCAUGCUAGAGUACUGAAGAGGUGACUAGAAUUCUCGGUGUAGCAGUGAAAUGCGUAGAUAUCGAGAGGAAUACCAACGGCGAAGGCA
Molecule: ribosomal RNA, 200 nt
Filed under: uncultured bacterium
Lineage: Bacteria
Description: partial 16S ribosomal RNA
Rfam family: Bacterial small subunit ribosomal RNA
Source: RNAcentral